RNAcentral lists this ribosomal RNA (574 nucleotides) under Listeria monocytogenes. RNAcentral describes it as "partial 23S ribosomal RNA". It matches the Rfam family "Bacterial large subunit ribosomal RNA", at positions 1 to 569 of the family's 2925-position model. The record is from RNAcentral. Lineage: Bacteria; Bacillati; Bacillota; Bacilli; Caryophanales; Listeriaceae.
GGUUAAGUUAGAAAGGGCGCACGGUGGAUGCCUUGGCACUAGGAGCCGAAGAAGGACGGGACUAACACCGAUAUGCUUUGGGGAGCUGUACGUAAGCGUUGAUCCAGAGAUUUCCGAAUGGGGGAACCCACUAUCUUUAGUCGGAUAGUAUCCUUACGUGAAUACAUAGCGUGAGGAAGGCAGACCCAGGGAACUGAAACAUCUAAGUACCUGGAGGAAGAGAAAGAAAAAUCGAUUUCCUGAGUAGCGGCGAGCGAAACGGAAAGAGCCCAAACCAAGAAGCUUGCUUCUUGGGGUUGUAGGACACUCUAUACGGAGUUACAAAAGAAAGUUAUAAAUGAAGCGGUCUGGAAAGGCCCGCCAAAGACGGUAACAGCCCGGUAGUUGAAAUGGCUUUCCCUCCAGAGUGGAUCCUGAGUACGGCGGAACACGUGAAAUUCCGUCGGAAUCCGGGAGGACCAUCUCCCAAGGCUAAAUACUCCCUAGUGACCGAUAGUGAACCAGUACCGUGAGGGAAAGGUGAAAAGCACCCCGGAAGGGGAGUGAAACAGUUCCUGAAACCGUGUGCCUACAA